UACGUAGGGGGCGAGCGUUGUCCGGAUUUAUUGGGCGUAAAGCGCGUGUAGGCGGCCUAGCAUGUCGGGUGUGAAAGCCCUCGGCUCAACCGAGGAAGUGCGCCCGAAACUGCAGAGCUUGAGUACCGGAGAGGAUGGCGGAAUUCCCCAAGUAGAGGUGAAAUUCGUAGAUAUGGGGAGGAACACCGGUGGCGAAGGCGGCCAUCUGGACGGAUACUGACGCUGAGACGCGAAAGCGUGGGUAGCAAACAGG
Molecule: ribosomal RNA, 253 nt
Filed under: uncultured bacterium
Lineage: Bacteria
Description: partial 16S ribosomal RNA
Rfam family: Bacterial small subunit ribosomal RNA
Source: RNAcentral